GCGCCCGUAGUGUAAUGGAUAACACGUUGCCCUCCGGAGGCAAAGAGUGUGGGUUCGACCCCCGCCGGGCGUGCCA
RNAcentral lists this transfer RNA (76 nucleotides) under Oscillospiraceae bacterium. RNAcentral describes it as "tRNA-Arg". It matches the Rfam family "tRNA". From Rfam's summary of the family: Transfer RNA (tRNA) molecules are approximately 80 nucleotides in length. The record is from RNAcentral. Lineage: Bacteria; Bacillati; Bacillota; Clostridia; Eubacteriales; Oscillospiraceae.